RNAcentral lists this long non-coding RNA (679 nucleotides) under Pan troglodytes (chimpanzee). Its description in RNAcentral is "lincRNA". The record is from RNAcentral. Lineage: Eukaryota; Metazoa; Chordata; Mammalia; Primates; Hominidae.
GUAAGGGAGGAGGUGGUAGUAAAGAAACCUUUAGACUGAAAAAUGUAAAGGUACAAUAUGAAAGGAGAAAAAAAACAACAAAAGAACCCACCAUGGAAGUUUCAACCCACCACCACCACAUGGUGCCAAAAACUUCAAAAUGGAACAUUUCUUAUAUUGGCACAUAUUUUUGUGAGAACAAACAUAUGGUUGUGAGCAUAUUCUUACCUUCAUUGUGAUCUGCAUAUUUCCUCUCUGCAGGAAAAUUUAAAUGCACUGUUGACAUCUUUUUAUAGUCACAUAAUAAGAAAGCAGGCAAAGAAAUGUUAUGAUUGGACUUAUUCAUGAGAUACCACAGACUCUAAUAUAUGAAGAUUUUCAUAUUUACACUACUGGUGAAUCUCUAGUUGUAUACCUGCCUCUGUGGUCUCAUUGUUGGUCCCUAGGAUAGCUUAUAAAUAAAAACAGAUGAUACUGUCUACUGGCCAGAACAAGCUCACAACUCACUUUCUACUCCAUUCUCAAGUGACUAUGUAGAGAAAGAUGGAUGGUUGAGGUCAGGAUUUGGAGUUCUCUGGCUAACUGCAUAUUAACUUUGUUAUCAUCGCCAAUAUUAUCACCUGACAGAGAAACAGACUUGAUGGAUUUGGGCUUUAGCCCUGACUUCAUCACAAAUUAACAGUGUCAUCUUGGAUGCUAA